GACGGAGGGUGCAAGCGUUGUUCGGAUUGACUGGGCGUAAAGGGCGUGUAGGCGGUUUGUCAAGUCGGGUGUGAAAGCCUGGGGCUCAGCCCCAGAAGUGCAUCCGAAACUAGCGAGCUAGAGCGCGAUAGAGGAGGGUGGAAUUCCUGGUGUAGCGGUGAAAUGCGUAGAUAUCAGGAGGAACACCGGCGGCGAAGGCGGCCCUCUGGAUCGUUGCUGACGCUGAGACGCGAAAGCGUGGGGAG
Molecule: ribosomal RNA, 245 nt
Filed under: uncultured Desulfomonile sp.
Lineage: Bacteria; Pseudomonadati; Thermodesulfobacteriota; Desulfomonilia; Desulfomonilales; Desulfomonilaceae
Description: partial 16S ribosomal RNA
Rfam family: Bacterial small subunit ribosomal RNA
Source: RNAcentral